RNAcentral lists this ribosomal RNA (101 nucleotides) under Chlorocebus sabaeus (green monkey). Lineage: Eukaryota; Metazoa; Chordata; Mammalia; Primates; Cercopithecidae. The record is from RNAcentral.
GCCUACGGCCAUAUCACCCUGAACACACCCGAUCUUGUCUGAUUUCGGAAGCUAAGCAGGGUCGCGUCUGGUUAGUACUUGGACAAGAGACAUUAUGGGCA